RNAcentral lists this ribosomal RNA (262 nucleotides) under uncultured bacterium. RNAcentral describes it as "partial 16S ribosomal RNA". It matches the Rfam family "Bacterial small subunit ribosomal RNA", at positions 94 to 354 of the family's 1533-position model. The record is from RNAcentral.
CCGGACGCACGGGUGGAGUAACGACGUAUGCACUACCUAUCAGAGGGGAGGUAAUCCGGCGAAAGUCGGACUAAUACCGCAUGAAGCAGGGGCCCCGCAUGGGGAUAUUUGCUAAAGAUUCAUCGCUGAUAGAUAGGCAUGCGUUCCAUUAGGCAGUUGGCGGGGUAACGGCCCACCAAACCGACGAUGGAUAGGGGUUCUGAGAGGAAGGUCCCCCACAUUGGUACUGAGACACGGACCAAACUCCUACGGAAGGCAGCAG